This 231-nucleotide ribosomal RNA is filed under the name uncultured bacterium. RNAcentral's name for it is "partial 16S ribosomal RNA". It matches the Rfam family "Bacterial small subunit ribosomal RNA", at positions 15 to 236 of the family's 1533-position model. The record is from RNAcentral.
GAUCAUGCUCAGGAUGAACGCUAGCUACAGGCUUAACACAUGCAAGUCGAGGGGAAACGAUAUUGGAAGCUUGCUUCCGAUAGGCGUCGACCGGCGCACGGGUGAGUAACGCGUAUCCAACCUGCCCAUCACUUGGGAAUAACCUUGCGAAAGUAAGACUAAUGCCCAAUGACAUUUAUAGAAGGCAUCUGAAAUGAAUUAAAGAUUUAUCGGUGAUGGAUGGGGAUGCGU